UAUGUCAGAUGCGACUGGACUAAUGCAAGAUAUAUCAAUUUGAGGUGUUUUAGAUCAAGUUAAUCCUUCAAAUAUUUUAUUUUAUAUAGAACCCCUCUCAACUUAUUAACUAUAUUUUUUACUUGUAGGUCCCACCUCAUGUAACGGUCAAUGAUCACACCCAAAUACUUGACCGACUCUGCCUCCAGGAUGUAAGAGUCAGUACCGGCCGUUAAAGGACCCAUAGAAGGCAAUCCACUGGAGUAUGAGCAAAAGGGCAUAUAUCUUGUUUUUUCUAGGUUUAGGGCCUGGAUCGAUUACAUAUAUAGUCUACACAACCCCAGAGAGCCUUGGACUGGUUAAUGUUAUCUCUUAUCAAUUUUUGUGCAUAUGUUUUCUUCGCAAUAUCCAUUAAUUUAGUUAAUUUGUUCUUAUAUGCCACAUAUUCCGACCCCUCUGUGAUCCCUCUGUACGGCUUUAUACAAUAGUUGUUUUGUAUUAAUUGAUGUGACAAGAGCAUUAGUGAUCCAUUUUUUCUUUUAGUAUUCUGUUAUUUCAUUCUCACACUUUUUGUACUUUCUUCUAAAUAUUUAUUAAUUUUAUCAAUAAAGUAAUCAGUUUUAUCGUCUAUAUUUUGUGAAAAAUAGAAUUUUUCCCACUUCUCCAUUUUCAGUGCGGUCUUCAGUGCUGAAUAAUCAAUGAACUUUCUAAUGCUAUCAUGCAUCCUCGAUGAAUCUUCCGAUUUUCGAUUCAAUUCUAUUGUCAAUGCUAUAGGAUCGUGGUCAGUUAUGGAGUACUGGAAAAUAUACGACUGAAUCUUC
Coccinella septempunctata (seven-spotted ladybird) is the source of this 800-nucleotide long non-coding RNA. RefSeq lists it as uncharacterized. The transcript is spliced from 2 exons. Lineage: Eukaryota; Metazoa; Arthropoda; Insecta; Coleoptera; Coccinellidae. The record is from RefSeq and is a predicted model, not a curated record.